Molecule: ribosomal RNA, 254 nt
Filed under: uncultured bacterium
Lineage: Bacteria
Description: partial 16S ribosomal RNA
Rfam family: Bacterial small subunit ribosomal RNA
Source: RNAcentral
CACGUAGGGGGCGAGCGUUGUCCGGAUUUAUUGGGCGUAAAGAGCUCGUAGGCGGCUCAGUUAGUCGGGUGUGAAACCCCCGGGCUCAACCCGGGGACGCCACCCGAUACUGCUGUGGCUAGAGUCCGGUAGGGGAGCGUGGAAUUCCUGGUGUAGCGGUGAAAUGCGCAGAUAUCAGGAGGAACACCAGCGGCGAAGGCGGCGCUCUGGGCCGGUACUGACGCUGAGGAGCGAAAGCGUGGGGAGCGAACAGG